AAAAAUUUAGUUAAAUUUAUAACAUUAGUUUGUCAAACUAAAAUUAUUUUAAUAAUAAUUUUUU
Molecule: transfer RNA, 64 nt
Filed under: Lypnea pubipennis
Lineage: Eukaryota; Metazoa; Arthropoda; Insecta; Coleoptera; Chrysomelidae
Description: tRNA-Asp
Source: RNAcentral